GACGAACGCUGGCGGCGUGCUUAACACAUGCAAGUCGAACGCUGAAGCUCAGCUUGCUGGGUGGAUGAGUGGCGAACGGGUGAGUAACACGUGAGUAACCUGCCCUCUUCUUUGGGAUAACGCCCGGAAACGGGUGCUAAUACUGGAUAUUCACUGAUUCUCGCAUGGGGGUUGGUGGAAAGGUUUUUUCUGGUGGGGGAUGGGCUCGCGGCCUAUCAGCUUGUUGGUGGGGUGAUGGCCUACCAAGGCUUUGACGGGUAGCCGGCCUGAGAGGGUGACCGGUCACAUUGGGACUGAGAUACGGCCCAGACUCCUACGGGAGGCAGCAGUGGGGAAUAUUGCACAAUGGGCGAAAGCCUGAUGCAGCGACGCCGCGUGAGGGAUGGAGGCCUUCGGGUUGUAAACCUCUUUCGCUCAUGGUCAAGCCGCAGCGUUGGGUUGUGGUGAGGGUAGUGGGUAAAGAAGCGCCGGCUAACUACGUG
This 482-nucleotide ribosomal RNA is filed under the name uncultured bacterium. RNAcentral describes it as "partial 16S ribosomal RNA". It matches the Rfam family "Bacterial small subunit ribosomal RNA", at positions 28 to 507 of the family's 1533-position model. The record is from RNAcentral.